UGGGGAAUAUUGCGCAAUGGGCGAAAGCCUGACGCAGCGACGCCGCGUGAGGGAUGAAGGUUUUCGGAUCGUAAACCUCUGUCAGAAGGGAAGAAACCGCACUGUGCUAAUCAGCAGUGCCUUGACGGUACCUUCAAAGGAAGCACCGGCUAACUCCGUGCCAGCAGCCGCGGUAAUACGGAGGGUGCAAGCGUUAAUCGGAAUUACUGGGCGUAAAGCGCACGUAGGCUGCUUUGUAAGUCAGGGGUGAAAUCCCACGGCUCAACCGUGGAACUGCCUUGGAUACUGCUUAGCUUGAAUCCGGGAGAGGGUGGCGGAAUUCCAGGUGUAGGAGUGAAAUCCGUAGAUAUCUGGAGGAACAUCAGUGGCGAAGGCGGCCACCUGGACCGGUAUUGACGCUGAGGUGCGAAAGCGUGGGGAGCAAACAGG
This 429-nucleotide ribosomal RNA is filed under the name Fusobacteriota bacterium. RNAcentral's name for it is "Fusobacteria bacterium partial 16S ribosomal RNA". It matches the Rfam family "Bacterial small subunit ribosomal RNA", at positions 355 to 776 of the family's 1533-position model. Lineage: Bacteria; Fusobacteriati; Fusobacteriota. The record is from RNAcentral.